UAAACAGAACCCUUCGGGGUGAUGUUUAUGGAAUGAGCAGGCGGACGGGUGAGUAACACGUGGGCAACCUGCCUGUAAGAUCGGGAUAACUCGCGGAAACGUGAGCUAAUACCGGAUAACACUUUUCAUCUCAUGGUGAGAAGAUAAAAGACGGUUUCGGCUGUCACUUACAGAUGGGCCCGCGGCGCAUUAGCUAGUUGGUGAGGUAACGGCUCACCAAGGCGACGAUGCGUAGCCGACCUGAGAGGGUGAUCGGCCACACUGGGACUGAGACACGGCCCAGACUCCUACGGGAGGCAGCAGUAGGGAAUCUUCCGCAAUGGACGAAAGUCUGACGGAGCAACGCCGCGUGAGUGAUGAAGGUUUUCGGAUCGUAAAACUCUGUUGUUAGGGAAGAACAAGUUGGGUAGUAACUGACCCAACCUUGACGGUACCUAACCAGAAAGCCACGGCUAACUACGUGCCAGCAGCCGCGGUAAUACGUAGGUGGCAAGCGUUGUCCGGAAUUAUUGGGCGUAAAGCGCUCGCAGGCGGUCUUUUAAGUCUGAUGUGAAAGCCCACGGCUUAACCGUGGAGGGUCAUUGGAAACUGGAGGACUUGAGUACAGAAGAGGAGAGUGGAAUUCCACGUGUAGCGGUGAAAUGCGUAGAGAUGUGGAGGAACACCAGUGGCGAAGGCGACUCUCUGGUCUGUAACUGACGCUGAGGAGCGAAAGCGUGGGUAGCGAACAGGAUUAGAUACCCUGGUAGUCCACGCCGUAAACGAUGAGUGCUAGGUGUUAGGGGGUUUCCGCCCCUUAGUGCUGAAGUUAACGCAUUAAGCACUCCGCCUGGGGAGUACGGCCGCAAGGCUGAAACUCAAAAGAAUUGACGGGGGCCCGCACAAGCGGUGGAGCAUGUGGUUUAAUUCGAAGCAACGCGAAGAACCUUACCAGGUCUUGACAUCCUCUGAUACCUCUAGAGAUAGAGUUUUCCCUUCGGGGACAGAGUGACAGGUGGUGCAUGGUUGUCGUCAGCUCGUGUCGUGAGAUGUUGGGUUAAGUCCCGCAACGAGCGCAACCCUUGAUCUUAGUUGCCAGCAUUCAGUUGGGCACUCUAAGGUGACUGCCGGUGACAAACCGGA
Molecule: ribosomal RNA, 1122 nt
Filed under: Oceanobacillus sp. MRSA51B1_13_1A
Lineage: Bacteria; Bacillati; Bacillota; Bacilli; Caryophanales; Bacillaceae
Description: bacterial SSU rRNA
Rfam family: Bacterial small subunit ribosomal RNA
Source: RNAcentral